This is a long non-coding RNA of Puntigrus tetrazona (Sumatra barb), 211 nucleotides long. RefSeq lists it as uncharacterized. The transcript is spliced from 3 exons. NCBI's taxonomy places the organism in Eukaryota, Metazoa, Chordata, Actinopteri, Cypriniformes, Cyprinidae. The record is from RefSeq and is a predicted model, not a curated record.
CGACUAAUUACUGCAAGCUGUUGGGAGUGUCAGAGAAUCUUAAAGAUCAUGUUUCAGUGAGUUUUGAGCCACCAGGGCCUAUGUCUGCAGGCAUGACUUGUGAACUAGAGGUUAUAUUUAUACCUUUGCUUGAUGUGGAUUUGGGUGGAAUGAUUCAUUUUCAGUCAGCUACUGGCCCUUUUUCUGUUUCCAUUAAGUGCUCCAAGAAAAA